Molecule: ribosomal RNA, 253 nt
Filed under: uncultured bacterium
Lineage: Bacteria
Description: partial 16S ribosomal RNA
Rfam family: Bacterial small subunit ribosomal RNA
Source: RNAcentral
UACGUAGGGUGCAAGCGUUAAUCGGAAUUACUGGGCGUAAAGCGUGCGCAGGCGGUGAUGUAAGACAGUUGUGAAAUCCCCGGGCUCAACCUGGGAACUGCAUCUGUGACUGCAUCGCUGGAGUGCGGCAGAGGGGGAUGGAAUUCCGCGUGUAGCAGUGAAAUGCGUAGAUAUGCGGAGGAACACCGAUGGCGAAGGCAAUCCCCUGGGCCUGCACUGACGCUCAUACACGACAGCAUGGGGAGCGAACGGG